GACGGGGGGGGCAAGCGUUGUUCGGAAUUACUGGGCGUAAAGGGCUCGUAGGUGGCCAACUAAGUCAGUCGUGAAAUCCCCGGGCUUAACCUGGGAACUGCGCUGGUUACUGGCAAGCUUGAGUGUGGCAGAGGGGGGUGGAAUUCCACGUGUAGCAGUGAAAUGCGUAGAGAUGUGGAGGAACACCGAUGGCGAAGGCAGCCCCCUGGGCUAACACUGACGCUCAUGCACGAAAGCGUGGGGAGCAAACAGG
Molecule: ribosomal RNA, 253 nt
Filed under: uncultured bacterium
Lineage: Bacteria
Description: partial 16S ribosomal RNA
Rfam family: Bacterial small subunit ribosomal RNA
Source: RNAcentral